AACGAACGCUGGCGGCGUGCCUCAGACAUGCAAGUCGAACGAUUAAAGCUCUCUUCGGAGAGUGCAUAGAGUGGCGCACGGGUGAGUAACACGUAAGUAAUCUACCUUCGAGUGGGGAAUAACGUCCGGAAACGGACGCUAAUACCGCAUAAUGCAGCGGCAUCGUAAGAUGACAGUUGUUAAAGAUUUAUCGCUUGAAGAGGAGCUUGCGGCAGAUUAGCUAGUUGGUAAGGUAAUGGCUUACCAAGGCUACGAUCUGUAACCGGUCUUAGAGGACGGUCGGUCACACUGACACUGAAUAACGGGUCAGACUCCUACGGGAGGCAGCAGUCGGGAAUUUUGGGCAAUGGGCGAAAGCCUGACCCAGCAACGCCGCGUGAAGGAUGAAGUAUUUCGGUAUGUAAACUUCGAAAGAAUAGGAAGAAUAAAUGACGGUACUAUUUAUAAGGUCCGGCUAACUACGUG
RNAcentral lists this ribosomal RNA (465 nucleotides) under uncultured bacterium. Its description in RNAcentral is "bacterial SSU rRNA". It matches the Rfam family "Bacterial small subunit ribosomal RNA", at positions 29 to 507 of the family's 1533-position model. The record is from RNAcentral.